CCUACGGGUGGCAGCAGUGGGGAAUAUUGCACAAUGGGGGAAACCCUGAUGCAGCGACGCCGCGUGAGUGAAGACGUACUUCGUUAUGUAAAGCUCUAUCAGCAGGGAAGAACAUGACGGUAACUGAGUAAGAAGCCCCGGCUAACUACUUGCCAGCAGCCGCGGUAAUACGUAGGGGGAAAGCGUUAUCCGGAUAUACUGGGUGUAACGGGAGCGUAGACGGUAGUGCAAGUCUGGAGUGAAAGGCGGGGGCUCAACCCCCGGACUGCGCUGGAAACUGGACGGCUGGAGUGCGAGAGAGGUAAGUGGAAUUCCGAGUGUAGCGGGGAAAUGCGUAGAUAUUAGGAGGAACACCAGUGGCGAAGGCGGCUUACUGGACUGUAACUGACGUUGAGGCACGAAAGCGUGGGGAGCAAACAGGAUUAGAUACCCCUGUAGUC
This 440-nucleotide ribosomal RNA is filed under the name uncultured bacterium. Its description in RNAcentral is "partial 16S ribosomal RNA". It matches the Rfam family "Bacterial small subunit ribosomal RNA", at positions 338 to 795 of the family's 1533-position model. The record is from RNAcentral.